RNAcentral lists this ribosomal RNA (523 nucleotides) under uncultured bacterium. RNAcentral's name for it is "bacterial SSU rRNA". It matches the Rfam family "Bacterial small subunit ribosomal RNA", at positions 1 to 524 of the family's 1533-position model. The record is from RNAcentral.
CUAGAGUUUGAUCAUGGCUCAGAUUGAACGCUGGCGGCGUGCCUAACACAUGCAAGUCGAGCGGUAACGCGGGAGCAAUCCUGGCGACGAGCGGCGAACGGGUGAGUAAUGCUUCGGAAUCUGCCCAGUAGUGGGGAAUAACCAACCGAAAGGUUGGCUAAUACCGCAUACGUCCUACGGGAGAAAGCGGGGGAUCGUAAGACCUCGCGCUAUUGGAUGAGCCGAAGUCGGAUUAGCUAGUUGGUAGGGUAACGGCCUACCAAGGCGACAAUCCGUAGCUGGUCUGAGAGGACGACCAGCCACACUGGGACUGAGACACGGCCCAGACUCCUACGGGAGGCAGCAGUGGGGAAUAUUGGACAAUGGGGGCAACCCUGAUCCAGCGACGCCGCGUGUGUGAAGAAGGCCUGCGGGUUGUAAAGCACUUUUAGUGGGGAUGAAAAGCUCAGGGCUAAUACCGCUGAGUCUUGACCUAACCCACAGAAAAAGCACCGGCUAACUCUGUGCCAGCAGCCGCGGUAAU